RNAcentral lists this ribosomal RNA (1372 nucleotides) under Salmonella enterica. Its description in RNAcentral is "partial 23S ribosomal RNA". It matches the Rfam family "Bacterial large subunit ribosomal RNA", at positions 1589 to 2925 of the family's 2925-position model. RNAcentral also lists the same sequence under 1 other name. The record is from RNAcentral. Lineage: Bacteria; Pseudomonadati; Pseudomonadota; Gammaproteobacteria; Enterobacterales; Enterobacteriaceae.
AGCAACAAAUGCCCUGCUUCCAGGAAAAGCCUCUAAGCAUCAGGUAACAUCAAAUCGUACCCCAAACCGACACAGGUGGUCAGGUAGAGAAUACCAAGGCGCUUGAGAGAACUCGGGUGAAGGAACUAGGCAAAAUGGUGCCGUAACUUCGGGAGAAGGCACGCUGACACGUAGGUGAAGUGAUUUACUCAUGGAGCUGAAGUCAGUCGAAGAUACCAGCUGGCUGCAACUGUUUAUUAAAAACACAGCACUGUGCAAACACGAAAGUGGACGUAUACGGUGUGACGCCUGCCCGGUGCCGGAAGGUUAAUUGAUGGGGUCAGCGCAAGCGAAGCUCCUGAUCGAAGCCCCGGUAAACGGCGGCCGUAACUAUAACGGUCCUAAGGUAGCGAAAUUCCUUGUCGGGUAAGUUCCGACCUGCACGAAUGGCGUAAUGAUGGCCAGGCUGUCUCCACCCGAGACUCAGUGAAAUUGAACUCGCUGUGAAGAUGCAGUGUACCCGCGGCAAGACGGAAAGACCCCGUGAACCUUUACUAUAGCUUGACACUGAACAUUGAGCCUUGAUGUGUAGGAUAGGUGGGAGGCUUUGAAGUGUGGACGCCAGUCUGCAUGGAGCCGACCUUGAAAUACCACCCUUUAAUGUUUGAUGUUCUAACGUGGACCCGUAAUCCGGGUUGCGGACAGUGUCUGGUGGGUAGUUUGACUGGGGCGGUCUCCUCCUAAAGAGUAACGGAGGAGCACGAAGGUUGGCUAAUCCUGGUCGGACAUCAGGAGGUUAGUGCAAUGGCAUAAGCCAGCUUGACUGCGAGCGUGACGGCGCGAGCAGGUGCGAAAGCAGGUCAUAGUGAUCCGGUGGUUCUGAAUGGAAGGGCCAUCGCUCAACGGAUAAAAGGUACUCCGGGGAUAACAGGCUGAUACCGCCCAAGAGUUCAUAUCGACGGCGGUGUUUGGCACCUCGAUGUCGGCUCAUCACAUCCUGGGGCUGAAGUAGGUCCCAAGGGUAUGGCUGUUCGCCAUUUAAAGUGGUACGCGAGCUGGGUUUAGAACGUCGUGAGACAGUUCGGUCCCUAUCUGCCGUGGGCGCUGGAGAACUGAGGGGGGCUGCUCCUAGUACGAGAGGACCGGAGUGGACGCAUCACUGGUGUUCGGGUUGUCAUGCCAAUGGCACUGCCCGGUAGCUAAAUGCGGAAGAGAUAAGUGCUGAAAGCAUCUAAGCACGAAACUUGCCCCGAGAUGAGUUCUCCCUGAGACUUUAAGUCUCCUGAAGGAACGUUGAAGACGACGACGUUGAUAGGCCGGGUGUGUAAGCGCAGCGAUGCGUUGAGCUAACCGGUACUAAUGAACCGUGAGGCUUAACCUUACAACGCCGAAG